UAAAUUAUAUGCAUUUGUUGUAAUAAUUUGCAUAGUACAUACUACAUAUGCUAAAGUCACCAAAAAGUCAUGCUUAUGUAUCAUCAUACAAUAAUUCACAAUAUAUAUAACUUAAGUUUCCAUAAUGAAUCAUUAUGAACAGAAACAUGAGCUGAAUCAAACAAAAAAACUUGCAAAGAUGAGCUGAAUGCAAAAACACUUGCAAACUUGCAAAAAACUUACAAAAAAUCAUUACUUUCCCCUCCCUGUUUUAUGAGUUCACUGGUCGGUGUCUCAUCCAGAACAAUUUUUUAUUUCUGGUAAGAAAAAAAGACCACAUGAAUAUCCAGUUAGAUAGCUAAAAAUCGCCCUUUAUACAUACAUAGAGAUAAAGGUUCUCCCUUUACACAAUUUAUACAUAAUCGCCCUUUAUACAUAAUCGCUAUAUAUUGCCCUUUAUACUCUGCAUUAAUAUUAUUACACAAUUUUCAGGGAAUUCAUUUUGAAGGAGGAAAAAGCAGUACAGAUAAAGGUUCUUCUUUUCAUUUCAAAUUAUUCAAGUAUCUAUAAUAUACAAAGUGUGGAAUAUGGGAAGAAGAAAAAGAACUUAC
RNAcentral lists this long non-coding RNA (590 nucleotides) under Panax ginseng (ginseng). Its description in RNAcentral is "long non-coding RNA (PGIN_LNC008940)". The record is from RNAcentral. Lineage: Eukaryota; Viridiplantae; Streptophyta; Magnoliopsida; Apiales; Araliaceae.